Molecule: ribosomal RNA, 1357 nt
Filed under: uncultured soil bacterium
Lineage: Bacteria
Description: bacterial SSU rRNA
Rfam family: Bacterial small subunit ribosomal RNA
Source: RNAcentral
AUUGAACGCUGGCGGAAUGCUCUACACAUGCAAGUCGAACGGCAGCACGGGAGCUUGCUCCUGGUGGCGAGUGGCGAACGGGUGAGUAACGCGUCGGAACGUACCGAGUAAUGGGGGAUAACGCAGCGAAAGCUGUGCUAAUACCGCAUACGCCCUGAGGGGGAAAGUGGGGGAUCGCAAGACCUCACGUUAUUCGAGCGGCCGACGUCUGAUUAGCUUGUUGGUGGGGUAAUGGCCUACCAAGGCGACGAUCAGUAGCGGGUCUGAGAGGAUGAUCCGCCACACUGGAACUGAGACACGGUCCAGACUCCUACGGGAGGCAGCAGUGGGGAAUUUUGGACAAUGGGGGCAACCCUGAUCCAGCCGUUCCGCGUGAGUGAAGAAGGCCUUCGGGUUGUAAAGCUCUUUCAGCUGGAACGAAACGGUACAUCCUAAUACGGUGUGCUAAUGACGGUACCAGCAGAAGAAGCACCGGCUAACUACGUGCNNNNCAGCCGCGGUAAUACGUAGGGUGCGAGCGUUAAUCGGAAUUACUGGGCGUAAAGCGUGCGCAGGNNNAUUGUUAAGCAAGAUGUGAAAUCNNNNNGGCUUAUCCUGGGAAUGGCAUUUUGAACUGGCAGUCUAGAGUGUGUCAGAGGGGGGUGGAAUUCCACGUGUAGCAGUGAAAUGCGUAGAGAUGUGGAGGAACACCAAUGGCGAAGGCAGCCCCCUGGGAUAACACUGACGCUCAUGUACGAAAGCGUGGGUAGCAAACAGGAUUAGAUACCCUGGUAGUCCACGCCCUAAACGAUGUCAACUGGUUGUUGGGGGAGUGAAAUCCCUUAGUAACGAAGCUAACGCGUGAAGUUGACCGCCUGGGGAGUACGGUCGCAAGAUUAAAACUCAAAGGAAUUGACGGGGACCCGCACAAGCGGUGGAUGAUGUGGAUUAAUUCGAUGCAACGCGAAAAACCUUACCUACCCUUGACAUGUCCAGAACCCUGCAGAGAUGCGGGGGUGCCCGAAAGGGAAUUGGAACACAGGUGCUGCAUGGCUGUCGUCAGCUCGUGUCGUGAGAUGUUGGGUUAAGUCCCGCAACGAGCGCAACCCUUAUCAUUAGUUGCUACGCAAGGGCACUCUAAUGAGACUGCCGGUGACAAACCGGAGGAAGGUGGGGAUGACGUCAAGUCCUCAUGGCCCUUAUGGGUAGGGCUUCACACGUCAUACAAUGGUCGGUACAGAGGGUUGCCAAGCCGCGAGGUGGAGCCAAUCCCAGAAAGCCGAUCGUAGUCCGGAUCGUUCUCUGCAACUCGAGAGCAUGAAGUCGGAAUCGCUAGUAAUCGCGGAUCAGCAUGUCGCGGUGAAUACGUUCCCGGGUC